GAUGAACGCUGGCGGCGUGCUUAACACAUGCAAGUCGAACGGGAAAUAUUUCAUUGAGCCUUCGGUGGAUUUGAUUUAUUUCUAGUGGCGGACGGGUGAGUAACGCGUGGGUAACCUGCCUUAUACAGGGGGAUAACAGUCAGAAAUGGCUGCUAAUACCGCAUAAGCGCACAGAGCUGCAUGGCUCAGUGUGAAAAACUCCGGUGGUAUAAGAUGGACCCGCGUUGGAUUAGCGAGUUGGUGGGGUAACGGCCCACCAAGGCGACGAUCCAUAGCCGGCCUGAGAGGGUGAGCGGCCACAUUGGGACUGAGACACGGCCCAGACUCCUACGGGAGGCAGCAGUGGGGAAUAUUGCACAAUGGGGGAAACCCUGAUGCAGCGACGCCGCGUGAAGGAAGAAGUAUCUCGGGAUGUAAACUUCUAUCAGCAGGGAAGAUAGUGACGGUACCUGAAGAAGAAGCCCCGGCUAACUACGUG
Molecule: ribosomal RNA, 478 nt
Filed under: uncultured bacterium
Lineage: Bacteria
Description: partial 16S ribosomal RNA
Rfam family: Bacterial small subunit ribosomal RNA
Source: RNAcentral